UACGUAGGGUCCGAGCGUUGUCCGGAGUUACUGGGCGUAAAGCGCGCGCAGGCGGCGGUGUUGGCCCGGCGUGAAAGCCCCCGGCUCAACCUGUGAAUGCCGCUGGAAACUGUCUGGCUAGAGUCCGGGAGGGGCGAGUGGAAUUCCUGGUGUAGCGGUGAAAUGCGCAGAUAUCAGGAGGAACACCGGUGGCGAAGGCGGAUCUCUGGGCCUUGCCUGACGCUGAGGCGCGAAAGCUAGGGGAGCAAACGGG
Molecule: ribosomal RNA, 253 nt
Filed under: uncultured bacterium
Lineage: Bacteria
Description: partial 16S ribosomal RNA
Rfam family: Bacterial small subunit ribosomal RNA
Source: RNAcentral